Molecule: long non-coding RNA, 280 nt
Organism: Suricata suricatta (meerkat)
Lineage: Eukaryota; Metazoa; Chordata; Mammalia; Carnivora; Herpestidae
Exons: 2
Source: RefSeq, a predicted model, not a curated record
CCCAGGCGCCCCAUCCUCAUGCUUUUAAGAGAUUCCCCACGUACAACCUGAGUCCGUGGACUCCCACCAUGACGGAGGACUCAGAGGAAGGACCGGAUGAGAGCGUGGCAGGCCGGGCAGCCCCCGGGGCAAUGCAAGGCGACAGAGUGGGGACAGCCAAGCCCCUGGACCUUCUCCAGUCACAUCACACUCACCUUGACUGAAAAUACUUGAAGAUAAAGUGUUUAAUUAAUAGGAUGCAAAAGUUCUUUCUUUCAUUAAAGAUUGAAACUGCAAUGUU